AACGAACGCUGGCGGCAUGCCUAACACAUGCAAGUCGAACGAGACCUUCGGGUCUAGUGGCGCACGGGUGCGUAACGCGUGGGAACCUGCACUUAGGUUCGGAAUAACUCCCCGAAAGGGGUGCUAAUACCGGAUAAUGUCUUCGGACCAAAGAUCUAUCGCCUUUGGAUGGGCCCGCGUUGGAUUAGCUAGUUGGUAGGGUAAAAGCCUACCAAGGCGACGAUCCAUAGCUGGUCAGAGAGGAUGAUCAGCCACACUGGGACUGAGACACGGCCCAGACUCCUACGGGAGGCAGCAGUGGGGAAUAUUGGACAAUGGGCGAAAGCCUGAUCCAGCAAUGCCGCGUGAGUGAUGAAGGCCUUAGGGUUGUAAAGCGCUUUUACCCGGGAUGAUAAUGACAGUACCGGGAGAAUAAGCUCCGGCUAACUCCGUG
This 433-nucleotide ribosomal RNA is filed under the name uncultured bacterium. Its description in RNAcentral is "partial 16S ribosomal RNA". It matches the Rfam family "Bacterial small subunit ribosomal RNA", at positions 29 to 507 of the family's 1533-position model. The record is from RNAcentral.